UCCCCCGCCAGCAGGGGGCAGCACAGAGCUGCAGCUUCCGUGUCCAGGUGUGUGUGUCUUGCAGAUGUUGGCAGCUGUGGACAAAACGCUCCAGGGAAGCUUCUUCAUCACGGUUCAUCCGGUUUAACAGACAAAAUGAACAUCAUUCACCUGACCAGCAUCUUCUUCACUUUGCUGACCAUCUUUGGGCGUCAUGGUGCAGACUCUGAUCCGUGCACCGAAGAAGCAUGUGAAUUGAAAUACAAUAACUUUCUCAAAAGACAUGUUCUUCGGGAGAAUUUUGAUAGAAAUUCUGAAACAGCAUGGAAAAGCUAUUUGGACAAGAAGCAGCUGUUGAACCGACCCGGAGCCAAGGUCCAGUCCUUCUUGGAGCCCAGCCAGAAUGUGGAGGACAUCUGCACCAAUGGCUGGCGGGUGUUGAAUGGAAGAAGUAAAAACCUGUGCAUCAGCAGGUCAGAUAUGACCGUUUAUGAUGUGACAACGAGAGACAACAACGGACAACUGAUCCCUCCGAUUCCUAAGCCAAGAAAGGGACCUGUGAUUGUGGCGUGUGAUAAGGUUGGAAACCGCUGCCUUCCUGUUCACUAUGAGAAAUACACAAACCAACAGGCGACAAAGAUUCCCUGCUGAAAUCGAUGAGAUUCAUAACUUCACUGAGUUCACUUCAAUUGCCUCUGAAUAAGAAAGGCAUUAAUAUCAGCUUGAUUCCUAUCAAAUACUUUAUGCUGUGUUUUGUUCACUUAAAUCUAAAACAAAUUGACCUUCUUCAUUAACACUGCAGAAUGCUUCACUUUCAAAUAAGGAUGGACCAAUAUUGAUACCGGUAUCGGGUCUGAUGCUGCAGCUGCUCUCAUACUUAUAAACCAUCCCCAGUACAACCCGGCUGAUACUUUCUAACGUCUCGCUGUGUGAUUCAUUGUUGAUAUCAGGCUGUGAAUAAAGUCAAUCUUUGAAAACUGA
This is a long non-coding RNA of Salarias fasciatus (jewelled blenny), 960 nucleotides long. RefSeq lists it as uncharacterized. Lineage: Eukaryota; Metazoa; Chordata; Actinopteri; Blenniiformes; Blenniidae. The transcript is spliced from 3 exons. The record is from RefSeq and is a predicted model, not a curated record.